RNAcentral lists this long non-coding RNA (252 nucleotides) under Ananas comosus (pineapple). RNAcentral describes it as "long non-coding RNA (ACOM_LNC036487)". Lineage: Eukaryota; Viridiplantae; Streptophyta; Magnoliopsida; Poales; Bromeliaceae. The record is from RNAcentral.
UCAAGGGUUCCAAUGCACCUUUGCACCUCGGAGUGGCCUUUAUUCUAUCGAGCUCAUUUAAUGGCCCACUACGAAGAAUGUGAGACCACAUUUACUCACACUUUCCUCUUGCAACAUCAACAGUGCUGUCACGCCCCGGGACCCAGCGGAAGCCCGCCCGGUGCGUGUCCAGACCCGCCGUACAUCUAAAACAUACAAGGCGUCUAAGAUAAAGCGGUAAAUAAAGCAAUAAAGAGAAAGCAUCUAAGUGUA